GAGAGGAGAGGAGAGGAGAGGAGAUCUCCCCGUCCCCGAUCCAAUUCCGCAGAGAUGGACUCCUCCUCCCCCUUCUCCCCUGACGACCAGACCGACGCCGACUUCUUCGACAAGCUCGUCGACGACGACGACGACCCCGCCCCGCCGCCCGCCACCGACUUGCCUCGGCCCGUCUCCGCCACCAGCCUCAACGCUGCAGACGACCCACCCGCCCCGGAGCCGCAGCCUCCGGUGCCGGCGCCUCCCGAGGGGUCAGGCAAGGGCGGAGCCGGCGUCCACACCGCGGUCAAGCAGGUGCAGUGGGCCUCCUUCGGAGGUGGCGCGGACGACGGUCCUGAUCCGUUCGCUGAUCUCUCGGGAGGCGCCGGCGACGACGACGGCUUCCUCGGGAGCACGGCCGGGACCCAGACGGCCUCGGGUCAGGACUUCUUCGCUGGGACCAACUCCUCCUCCGAUCAGCAGAAUGUCAAUGGUCAGCACGAUCAGGGAGGUGGCACCAGCACUGCAGUGGACCCAGCAGAUCCCAAGUCUUGGGAGGCCAUGUACCCUGGGUGGAAGUACGACGAGGCAUCGCAGCAGUGGUACCAGCUUGAUGGCAGUGUAAAUUCAACCGGGAAUGCAGCUCAGGUGCUGGAGAAUAGCAAUCAGAAUGCGCAGCAGCAGCUCAACACGUCUUACCUGCACAAUUCGUCGCAUGCGGGGCUCGAGACAAUUGCUGAGGAGGGCACUGCCGCAGCCGGUGCUGUCUCAAGUUGGGGCCAAGGGGCCGCCUCAGAGUACCCACCCAACAUGCUCUUCUACGCAGAAUACCCUGGUUGGUACUUUGACACCAACACUCAGCAGUGGCACUCGCUUGAGUCGUACCAGCAGGCUGCUAUGCAGGCUGGAACAGCUAGCACGGGUCAGACUGUUGUUGCAAACGAUGUUGUUGCUGCGAAUUCCUCCUCGCUGACAGGCUAUAAUGCUGCACAAACUGAGGAUGUUGCUGCCCACAAUCAGGUGACCCAUCACAAUUCAUUCUCAAAUAGUUUCACUCUGCAGAACCAAUGGCAGACUACGGAUGCAUUUGGUAACAAUGUACGAUCUGAAAGUGCUACAGAUAACAGCCUGGCUAGUAGUUUCUAUGGUUUUGAACAAAACAGGAAUGCUGAGACUACCACUUCCUCUACGAGCCAACAGGCUGGUUUUAACACAGUUGAAACUGUUACAGAUCACUAUGGUGCACGCAAGGGCUUUGAAUCAUCAAGUCUUCAGAGUGGUUAUAGCUCAUCUGACAGUCAACAAUCCAGUUACAAGGCAUUCGAACCUUCCACGCGUUAUAAGGCUGGUUACAAAGCGUUUGAACCUGCCAUGGAUAACCAGAGUGGCUACAAGGCAUUCAAACCUUCUACGGGUCACCAUAGUGCUUCCCAGGGAUUCAUGCCCUCCACGGGUCACCGGACUGAUUUCAAGGGUUCCAGAGCUUCCACAGUUCACCAGGCUGGUUACAAAGAGUUUGAAACUUCUACAGGUUACAGUACAAGUUUCAAGGCAUUUGAACCCUCUUCAUCUCAACAUGCUGGUUACAAGGGUUCCCAACCUAACUACACGGGAUUUGACAGUUCUGCAAACCACCAUGGUUAUGGUGAUGCCAAUGGUGUUGUGAGUACUCAAGGCUUUGUCCCAAUGCAAACCACGUACCAAGGCCAGAAACAAGUAAAUGCAACCUCGCAAGGGCACCUGUCAAAUAGUUAUUUUGGUACUGAAAACUCCAUGAACUUUAAUCAGCAACAAUUUCUGGGUGCAAAUGCGUCAAACUUGCAAUUCGAUCACUCCCCACAUGAAGGCAGGUCAUCGGCUGGUCGACCACCGCAUGCCCUUGUUACUUUUGGGUUUGGAGGGAAGCUCAUAGUUUUGAAAGAAACUAGCUCCAUGCCCGCAAGCUUUAACACUGGAAAUCAGGUAUCACAAUAGUUUCCUUUUGUAACGUAUUUUGUAAUGAAGGAACAUAUUUGAGUUGACUAAAUUACUAAAAUAUUUUUUUUCUUUUUCUUCUUGCAGUUCAAGGGUAACUCUAGUAGCACAGUUUCAGUUCUUAAUCUGUCGGAGGUGGUCAUUGAUAGAGUUGAUCCUUCAAGCAUCACUAAUGGUAGUGCACUUAGUUAUUUCCAUGCUCUGUGCCAUCAACCUGUUCCUGGCCCUCUGGUUGGUGGAAGUGCUGCAUCAAAGGAUGUAAAUAAGUGGCUUGAUGAAAUGAUUGCAUGGUACGAGUCUUCCUCUAGUGAAUUCCAGAAAGGUGAUACUCGCAAGUUGCUUAUUUCAUUGUUGAAGAUACUAUCUCAGCACUAUGGAAAACUCCGUUCACCUUUUGCGUCUGACCCAUUGCAAGAGGUACUUCCUCUCAUACUCUAUUCUGUAAUUGAAUGUUCAUUUAUAUAUCUCCUCUGUUUUCUCUGGUCUGCUUUCCUUUUCUAUCCUUAUUUAUUUUUACGACUUGCAUUAGAAAACAUUGUGCCAUGGUGAUUUGUUUCGAGUUGGAUGGUGUAAACCAAAACAUAAGUUGGAUAAGCUACUAAACUUCAGAUUUAUAUAUACUCAUACAACCUAGAAUUUUUUUACGAACAGUGUUUCAACCAUGUAAAGUUAUAAAUACCUGUGAUCAGCAUUGUCACAUGGGAACUUUGCUCGAUUUCAUAUUUUCAUGUUUGAUUAUGAUGGGGGAUUCAACUACUUUCUUAACUCGUAGUUUGUAAACAAUGUCUAAUUUUAUAUUUGUGCAUAAUUGUUACAUGAAUUCUUUAUAAUAGGAGACAAAUGGUCCAGAAAUGGCAGUAACUAAGCUAUUUUCAUCGUGUAAGAGAAGCACUGCUCAUAUGGGAGAUUAUGGAUCCAUUGUUCCGUGCAUGAAAAAUAUUGCUUCAGAAAGUCAGAUGCAGGUAAUUUUUAUUUAUAAUAUUCUGCCCUUUAUUUUUAGCAAAUGUCCCUUAUUGAAACAACUACUAUUCUUUUAGGCUGUUGCACAAGAGGUGCAAAGUCUUCUAGUUUCUGGGAGAAGAAAAGAGGCCCUUCAGUGUGCCCAGAGAGGUCAACUUUGGGGACCUGCAAUCAUACUGGCAUUGCAGCUUGGUGAUCAGGUCUGUUUGACUUUAAACAACCCCCCUUUCGUAACGUAGCAUGUUGCUCGACUUCCUGUAAUCCUGCCUGGUUUUCAUUUCCAUGUUAGAUUCAUUGUUUUUUUCCUGGACUGUUGGUACAGUUUUAUGUGGAUACAGUGAAGAAAAUGGCUCACUUCCAUUUUGUAUCUGGGUCCCCUCUGCGAACGCUAUGCCUUCUCAUUGCUGGACAACCUGCAGAUGUUUUUAAUGUAGAGAACAAUGUCAACAGUGACUAUGGUACAUCCCGUCAACCUAUGGAGGUACUUGCAAAGUUAAUUGGUCUUUUAGUUGUUAAAUGUAUUACUGUUAUGACCGUCAAGUACUGAUUAUAUAAUUCAAAUUCAAAAUUAUAAAAAAAAAAUCUUUACCUUGUUGUCAUUGCUGAUCACCUGUGUGAUUAAUGAUUUCAUAAUGUCUUGUUUACUGCAAUGUCAUGACUUUUGGGUAUCGUUUAUCAAUAUUUUUUCUGGGUUUCUGUUGUACUAUCUAACUUCUUUCACAAUUUGUUCUUUUUCUUUCCUGAGUCAGCCUGGUCCUAAUGGUAUGUUGGAUGAUUGGGAGGAGAAUUUGGCUAUAAUUACUGCAAACAGAACGAAAGGUGACGAUCUAGUAAUCACCCAUCUUGGUGAUUGCCUCUGGAAAGAAAAAUAUGAGGUUUGUAUCAUUAUAUCAUAUUUGUUUUUAGAUUCAGUUUUCCUACUCUUUUGUGUAUAUGCGGUCAAGUACCUUAUGCACAAUGUAUACAGGUUGCAGCUGCCCAUUCAUGCUAUUUAGUUGCUGAACUAAAUAUUGAUUCAUACUCGGAAAGUGCAAGGUUAUGCCUCAUUGGUGCAGACCACUUGAAGUGUCCUCGAACAUUUGCCAGCCCUGAAGCCAUUCAGGUUUGGCACUAUAUGUUUUACCUGCAAAAAAGUUGUGUAUGCUGUAUGGAGUAGACAUUUACUUAAAACAUCUUUUUCGCUCAGUUGCCUAGUUAGACAUUGCCUAGAUGUGGCUAGCUUUAAAAAAUAUAUUAUACGGAUCCAUUGGCAAGAUUAUGCUUAGUUAUUUAUUGGUUUAUUUUUUUUGCUAUUCACUGUCUGGACUAAUAUCUUCAAAAUGCAAACAGAGGACAGAGGUUUAUGAAUACGCGAAGGUGCUUGGUAAUUCUCAGUAUAUUCUACUACCCUUUCAGCCAUAUAAGCUGAUAUAUGCAUACAUGCUUGUGGAUGUGGGGAAGGUUUCUGAUUCUUUGAGGUAUGUUGUUGGCUUGUUCAUAACAAUCAAAUGACACAAUCCUUUCCCUAGCUUGUACUUGUACAUUAUCACGCAGUUGAAUAUUAACUUCUCUAGGUAUUGCCAAGCAUCUAUGAAGGUGCUGAAAGCCUCUGGUGGUGCCCCUGAAUUGGAGGUGUGGAAACAAUUAUUUUCUUCACUGGAGGAGAGGAUACGCACUCACCAGCAGGUAUGACCAUACCAUUUGGUAUAUUGCUUAUUGCAAAUCUUUGCUUGCUUUAUAUCUGGUGUUCUCUUGCUCUUUUCCUUGUUCAUUUACAGAUUGACCAACUCUCUUUGCUUGUUUUUUUUUUCUGUAGGGUGGAUAUGGAACAAAUCUUGCCCCAGCAAAACUAGUUGGGAAGAUUUUUACCUCGCUUGAUAAAUCUAUAUCCCACAUGAUGGGUACACCAUCUGCACCACUUCCACCAUUACCACAUGGAUCUGUUAGUGAUAGAGAGAGCCACUCUAUGCCUGCAGCAGCAAAAUUUGGAAAUAGCCAAUCGGCAAUGGCCAUGUCAUCGUUAAUGGCAUCUGCUUCAAUGCAGUCAAUGACUGAGAUAGCAGAGAAUAGUGGUGGCACUGGCAGGACAAUUGCACAGAACAGAAGUGUUUCUGAGCCGGAGUUCGGUAGAACAUCAAAACAGGUACUUGCAAAGAGAAAUUUUAAGACAUUAAUUUCUGGUUAUGUUGAAUUUGAAAGAUCAUAUGGUAUUUCUCCCCUUGUCUCAUUUGAAAAACCUAACAGGGUGCUGGAUCAGAUGGCACACAGAGUAGUGCAUCAGGAUCUGGUAGUUCUCGAUUUGGUUGGCUAGUGCAGAAGACUAUGGAUUUAGUGUCGAAAUCCCACCGCCAGGUAUUUUUUACUAAGUUAUGAAAUGACUAUUUCCAGUUUUUGCCUCCAUCUUGUCUCUUCUAUAUGCAACACCAACCUUAAGAUCCUAUUUCUGUUAUGAAGGCAAAAUUAGGGGAUCAGAACAAAUUUUACUAUGAUGAAAAGUUGAAGCGGUGGGUGGAAGAAGGUGCUGCUGUUCCUGCCGAGGAGCCUCCUCUUCCUCCACCUCCAACAAAACCAUCUUUCCAGAAUGGUAUGCCAGACCAUAAGUUGAAUGGCCCCGUGAGUGUAAACCAUGCUCCCAAUGGAGUCACAGAAUGGAAAUCCUCAAAUUCUUCGGAUCAAGGAGGUCUGGGUAUGCCUCCAAUUCCACCUAGCCAAAACCAGUUUUCUGCUCGUGGACGGAUGGGUGUCCGGUCCAGGUAAUUCGACAGUGGCAUUGUCAUUUAGUACUCUGAAUUAUUAUUUCUAUAUUGCUAUCUAAGGUAUUAUACAGAAAACUGAUGGCUUUUCUGUUUUCAUUUUAGAUAUGUUGACACAUUCAAUAAAUCGGGUGCGUCUGGAGCAGUGCCAUCAUAUAACAAACCAGCUGCUCCAUCUGUGACACCACCAGCUGGUGCCAAGUUCUUCAUGCCGACUGCAGCACCUGCUGCUGCAGAUCAGAUGGUGCCACACCAAGCGGCAGAGAUACACAGUGAAACCAUCCAUCAGGAUGAGCGGUCAGCCUCACCACCAGCAGAAACAUCAAUUUCUUCAACCCCACCACCCACACAAUUUUCAUCACCCCCACCGCACUUGCAAUUUUCAUCACCAAUGCAAUCAACAAUUCAUCGGCAAUCUAGUAUGGAGAAUAUCUCCACCCCUUACCUGGGUUCUGGGGUAUCAUCAUUAAGCAGCAGCAGCUCAUUCUCAAAAUCACGAGCCGCAUCCUGGAGUGGGACAUACUCUGAGCAGUAUAGUGCUUUUGCGGGCACUCAAUCACCUGACAGACAGACGAUGCCUUCACCACUCAUGCCUGGCAAACCAUCACACAGUCGUUCCAACAGCAACUCAUCACUGCAGCUCAAUGGAUUGGCAGAGGAUCUUCAUGAGGUUGAGCUCUAACUGAUCACUGCUCAGCAUGACCUCAUGUCUUGUAUCCACAAAGACAGCCAUGGCAACCGCUGACGGUUCCAGAAACCCCAAAGCGGGUGUCAGAAAAGAAGCUGCCCUCACAAUGCUGAUCACAGGGAUGACACAGUUGGAAUGGGUUGGUGCCACUUUGCACGGGAUUCUGGGGGCGCGCUCUAAACCACCGAGGUGCGUCAGACCUGUACUAACAGAAAUGCAGGGUUUUUGAACAUUUUGUAGUUAUAUCUCCUAUACAACUAAAAAGAAGAAAAGUAAGAUCACCAAAUGGUGCGAUAAUUUUUUGGGUUGCCCCCACCUCUCCUUGCGAUUCUAAGGUGGAAGGGUGCAAAAACAAAUAAAGAAUAAGAAUGGAUUCCUGAUGUAAAUAUACAAUAGAGAAACAAUAUAUAAAUGUGGAGGUGGAAGGGAAAGGAUUCCUGAUGUAAAAUGGUCUUUUGUGGCCGUGCGAUGUUUGCCAUAGAUGCGAUACAGUCGGUGGUGCGACAAUUUCGGCAACAAAAAUCAACCGCCCAUAAAAUACAAUUUUGGCAACCUGCGAUUACGGCAACAAAAAUCAACCGUGAUUUUUGGCUACGGAAGUUGGAGUGCUUUCUAUAAUUCCAUCCUCGCGAAAUCAAUCAGGGCACGCGCAGGACCUUUUCCAUCGCCGUCCUAUUUAUUCGGUCGAGGAGGAUGCGAGGUGCUGGCGGGUCUCCUCGGUCCCGCGGGCACCAACCAACUGUGAACAAGCUCCGUGGCAAUGCGCCGGCCACGCGGCCGAUAAUAAAGCCAAAUAUUUUACUAUAAACUAAACAAAGUCAUUAGAGAAUCUUCAAGAGCCUUUCUAUAUCUUAUUCUCUAAAUCAUUACUUGGAGAGCCAUUUAUAUAAAAAUCGUUUUCUAUAUUUUUUUUACUUUCGAACAGUUUUGCUAAAUCUCAUACGCAUUCUAUAGAGUCAUUCUCGUCUUCUAUAUUUGGCUAGCGAAAAAUCUGAAAUAGACAUGCGAUGAGUCUGGUCGGAAGAAACCUAUGUGUAGGAGACAUUUUGGACCUUUUUGAGCAAGGUGGCUGUCUGUCCCAUCGCGGCGAUCAGAUGUGCUCGUAUACUGGAUCGGACGCCCUGGCACUCCGGGGUAUCAGAGAGUCGGUCCAGAUUCGCCAUGGCGACAGCCACGUUGGCGCUUGGCGUCUUGUAGACUGGCUGAUCUCCGACCAUGUCAAAAGCAUCACUAAGGUUGUGCGGCGCAAGUUGCCGUUCUUCAUCUGCGCGCCGCCGAGCACGAUCAGCAUUGCGCUGUUCGCGGAGUUGUUUCUGCUCGUCUGUUUCGCCGUCGACAACGGGUUCGUCAUUGCUGACGUUAAAAAUAAGGUCUCCUCGCCGAGGUGGAAAGACCGGGAAACGAGAAAAACCCGGAGGAUAAUGGUGGUAGAUCCAGGUCGUAAUCUUCGUCCUCGGAGUGUAAAACUUUGGUGGGGACGGACCCUGUGCUGGAGUUUGUACUGGUGGCCUUGUCGUCUGGCAGGACUCGGAUGGAUACCAUGUUGACGUAAUGGCGAGCUGUUUGGCUGCUCUGUCCCGGCGAUAAGCCCGCCCUGCUGAAAAGAGAUUGGGUGUGCCGUGAAUAGUGGUCGGCCGAGUUGCUUAGACCGUAAGGGUGGUUCUGGUCUUGAGCUGUCUUGAGCUUGAUGGGCCGUCCCGCGGGGGUCGAUGUUAUUGUUAGGGACGUCUCCAGCUGUUCGUGUGUGAUGACACGAGUUGGCCGGCAGGAGUCGAAAAAGUUUGUUGACGUCGCCUGGUCGGGUUUUCGCGAGAUCGAAUCCAUGAGAUCCGAGGCUUCGAGGAGCCUGAGAUCGGCGCAAUCAAGAGCUCGGAAAAGAUCCGAGUCGUCGACCUUUUUUCCCCUAUAACGAGGGAGCGGAGGUCGGGUGCUCGGAGCCGGCGUGAUCGGAAUCGACGCCCUUGCUGUCUCAGAUCGGAUCUGGGCUCCUUCCGAGGUCGUGGUCGUGAAGCCGCCACCAUGAGUCGUCCACGUGAUCUGGCCGACGGUGAACGUGAGGCCUUCCGCCACGGCCGCGGAAGCUGGAACGAUGACCAUCUUGUUCGUCGAGAGAGCUGUACGCACACCCCCUACCUGGCGCGCCACUGUCGACGAAAGCUAGUCGGCAGUCUACCUUGGGGUAUACCCACGGUAGUAGUUUAUUGGUAGACGGUGCGCAAGCUACGAACUCGAUGGUGACGCAAGACACAGACAAAAUUUUUAUCCAGGUUCGGCCGCCGUGUGGGCGUAACACCUACGUCCUGCGUCGUCUGAUUGUAUUGGAUUGUGUUGAGAUAAUCUGUCCUAAGGGGGGUCCCUUGCCUCUCCUUAUAUAGUCCAGAGGGCAGGGCUACAGAUCUGGAAACUAAUCCUAGUCGGCUACAAUUGCCAUAGAUAGUACGAUAUCUAUUCCUAUUCUAACCGACUAGAUUCCUGCUUGAUCCCCACGUCUUGUUUUCUCGCUUGAAACUCCGAACAGUCGAAUCAAGCCUCGAACUCGUCUCGUAAUGGGCCGAGCCUCCUGGCCCAAGUCUAUCCGUAAGGGUAUAGGGGUUUAUACCCCCACAGCUGGUACAUGCCAAGUGAUGGAGCAAGUGAUGAUCAUGGUGAUGAUGGCGAUGAAAAUGAUCAAGUGUUCAACUUAGAAAAGAAGAAAGAGAAAAACAAAACCCUAUGAAGAUCAAGGCAAAGGUAUUGCUUAGGGUUUUGGUUUUGGUGAUCAAGACACCAUAGAGGGUGUGAUCACAUUUAGGAUAGAUAGCCGUACUAUAAAGAGGGGAAUUCUUUGGCUAAGCGGUUAUCAAGUGCCACUAGGUGUCUUUGUUCAUGUGCAUGCAUUUAGAACCUAGUGAGCUAACUUAACUCAUUCGAAGAAAAUGAUUGUGAAAAUGCUAACACACGUGCACAUGUUGGUUUACACAUUGUGGUGUUGGCACACUUUGAGAAGGAGGUGGAGUUUGAAGGGUAGAGAGAGGAUGGGUUCCUCUCUCCCUCCCGCCGAGCUUGCGAGACGGGAUUCGGCGCUUUUCGAGAAAAUGAAGUGCAUAUCUUCUAUUGCGCCGGUGGGAAAGUUGGACAAGUCGCGGGAGUGUUUCUCGCUGAGGAACACUCACCGGACGCUGGCUUCUGGAGCACCUGACGCUGAGUCUGAGCGUCCGGUGCAGUCAGUGCCUGACUCAGUUAGGGUAAGGCACCGGACGCCAGGCACCGGACGUAGGCUGGAGCGUCCGGUGUUCUGAGUCCGGUGUCUGCGCGUUUUGCAGUGCUCCCUAGGUUUAAGUCCGGUGAGCACCGGACGUAGGCUGGAGCGUCCGGUGACCUUGCGCGUUUGCAGACCUUCCUGAGUUUAGGACCGGUGUGCACGGGACGCGUCCGGCGGCAACUUGCUCAGCGUCCGGUGCUCUGCAGGUUACCGUUAGACUCUGACACGUGGGUGACUUUGGAGCACCGGACGCAGGUGUUGAGCGUCUGAUGCCCCUUUAAGAGCGUCCGGCGACCCCGUGUUUUGUCCAGUGAAAGAGCCAACGGCUCUAUUUGUUUGAGGGGUCUAUAAAUAGUUGUUGGCCGGCUUGGGGCUCACUCUCUUGGCAUUCUAGCAUACUUGACAUCCUUGUGAGCCUAAGCAAACACCUCCCACUCAUCUCCUUCAUAGAUUAAACAUCUUUGUGAGAUUGGGAGUGAUUCCAAGUGCAUUUGCUUGAGUGAUUGCAUCUAGUGGCACUUGUGGAUCGUUCUACCUGCGAUUUUCUUGUUACUCUUGGUGGUUGCCGCCACCUAGACGGCUUGGAGCAGCGGAGGAGGAUUGACACGAGUUGGUGAUUGUUCGUAGCCAUCUUCCGGUGAUUGUGAGGGGUCUUGUACCUUCACCGGUGGAGAGCCGAAAGGUAACUCUAGUGGAUUGCUCGUGUCAUUGAGCUACCUCACUUGUGGGUAGGUUCUUGUGGUGUCCUAGUGAGGACGAGGUUCGUGCUACACCUCUUAGCCACCGAACCACCAAGUGUUGGUCGACACAAUAGGGACGUAGCGUGCCGGCAAGCACGUGAACCUCGGGAGAAAAUCGUGUGUCUCCAUUGUGAUUGUACUUUGGAUUUCUCCCGGUAAUUGGACGUCAUAUUAUUGAUUGGUUCAUCCCCUCUACGCGGCGGUAUAAAGAUCAAACCAUCUCUCUUACUUUCCCGCAAACUAGAGUAGCUUACUUCUUGUAUAGAAACUUUAGAUAGCUCUCUAGUGUAAGUAGUGACGUAGCUCUUGUGUGCCUAGUGAUCAUUUCAACUAGAAUUGUUGGAUAGGUGGCUUGCAAACACCCCAUUAGAGCUAGAGCAAAAAGCUACGCUUUGUUAUUUACUAACCACUUGCUCUAGUGAGUUUUGUAGAUUUUUUAAAUAGGCUAUUCACCUCCCUCUAGCCAUAUUAGGAUCUUUCAAUGGGUCAGCAGGUGUCCCCGAGUUUCUACGAGCACACGAUGAUAUAUGAGCAAGGUGAACCUGUCCUCGCCACGACGGUGGCAAUCGUGGCCAAGUGAAAGGAGAUGUGUACCACUGCCUGCAUCGCCUCGUGGUACAACCAAUAAUCCCAUUUGUAUCUACGCCACAAGCAAGAACUGACCAUAUCGUCGCUCUUGCAUGUGCCACCUCACUACAUUCACGGUGCCCGCUGAAGUAUUGACUAUUGCUAUUUACUAAAAAAUUGGUUCAAUUAGUAUUGGCACUGAAUGUGAACAAUGUCUAGACAAAGCUCUUUGCCUUUUCUAGAAAAGCAAUGAAGAAAAACUGAAAAAUAAUAUCAAUAAGCUCUCUUAGGCAUAUAUAGACAAAUAGCCUUUCGUUUCUUACCUACGUAACCUGGUCCUAGAUAAUUGACAACCAAUGCUAGGGUGAACAAACAACUACCAAUUUGACCUCUGGAUGUGCUUUCUAAUUUGCAUGUUUAGACAAUUCUUACAUCAUUAGAAUCCAUCUAAAUUCACAUCCUAUAGUUAAUAGAGCUUGUUGCCGGGAAACAAUUCAUAGUUCUACACUAAAUCAAAAUUCCUCACUGUAAACUAUGAGAAUUGAGCAAGUAACAAGCACAUACACUACUAUUGUUACUGUGACCAAAUAAAAAAAAUGUAUGAACAGAUCCAUAGUGAUCCAUUCAACCAUCCUACUUUCCUAAAAUAAUAGACGUGUUCACUCAUAUUUAUUGGAACUCCUUACUUCUAGAUUCACACAUUGUAGGUGGGCAGCGAGGGACAUUACACAUUAGACAUGGUGUGGUGCAAACACGUACAUAUCGUUGAGGAGCGAGGUGCGUUCUUAUUUUAUUCCUUGAGCUUGGAGAAGACUGCUAUGUGUAACACGCGGAAAGGUUAUAAUAGAGUUGAUGAGUCUAUGACACCGAUCUCUAUGUGACCUAUUAAUUUUACAAAAUUUAAUUUUUAAAUUAAAUGUCACUUUAAAGGUGAAAUUUAAUUUUAUAGUAUUAUAUUAUCUUAUCAUGUGAUUCGUAUAUUUUUAAUAUAAAAGUUUAGUUAUCCCGUAGUAACACGAGCAUUCUAGAAGCGAUGCCUUUGGUUGGUGGUAGUUGCACAUGAGCAGGACAGCAAAGUGUGGUCGAACCAAACCAACUGAGGUGAGAUGAGAUCCCUGACACGUCACCAGAAAGAAAGAAAAAAACUCAUCAGAUCUUCAUCGGAUUUUGAAGGGGAAAAUGUGGAAAAUGGAAGGAUACAUACAGGAACAAGAGAGAGAGAGAGAGAGAGAGAGAGGCAAGAGCAAGAAGUGCCACGGCCACGGGUGGCGCGAUGCGACGUCGGCUGUCGUGCUCGUGACCGCCCUCCCGCCUCCUCCACCUCCUGCGAUUCCGAUCCGCUGCCCUGUCUGGCCGGCCGGCCGGCCGGCAAGCCCCGCCUCCGCCUCCGCGCCUGCCUCUCCCCUCUCCCAUUUCGUUUCAAUUUAGAGCUGGGAGCAACCAACCAACCAACCAACCCUAGAUCCACCACACGAGAGGAGAGGAGAUCUCCCCGUCCCCGAUCCAAUUCCGCAGAGAUGGACUCCUCCUCCCCCUUCUCCCCUGACGACCAGACCGACGCCGACUUCUUCGACAAGCUCGUCGACGACGACGACAACCCCAUCCCGCCUCCCGCCACCGACUUGCCUCGGUCCGUCUCCGCCACCAGCCUCGACGCCGCAGACGACCACGCCCCACCGCCAGCCACCGACUUGCCUCGGCCCGUCUCCGCCACCAGCCUCGACGCCAC
Molecule: long non-coding RNA, 12610 nt
Filed under: Sorghum bicolor (sorghum)
Lineage: Eukaryota; Viridiplantae; Streptophyta; Magnoliopsida; Poales; Poaceae
Description: long non-coding RNA (SBIC_LNC005888)
Source: RNAcentral